UUGGGAAUAGUAUCCCAAAGUCAAUUGUCAGCCUGUUGACGGUUGGGCUCAUUUUGUAUAUGUAUAUGAAUUAUGAAUUAAUAAAAAUUAUUUUGGUAUUUUUCAUCACAAAAUGUUUCAUCUUCUAAUGAACUCCUAUGUUGUGGUGAAGUCCUUAGGACUAUUUAGACUCGACAAAGGAGGAUUUAUCGUUUAGUCCUUAAAUCUGUUCGCGACCAAAUGAUAUAUUGUUACCAAGGACG
This 242-nucleotide long non-coding RNA is filed under the name Elaeis guineensis (African oil palm). Its description in RNAcentral is "long non-coding RNA (EGUI_LNC053004)". Lineage: Eukaryota; Viridiplantae; Streptophyta; Magnoliopsida; Arecales; Arecaceae. The record is from RNAcentral.